UGGGGAAUCUUGCGCAAUGGGCGAAAGCCUGACGCAGCAACGCCGCGUGGGGGAUGAAGGCUCUCGGGUUGUAAACCCCUUUCAGCAGGGACGCGGUACCUGCAGAAGAAGCCCCGGCUAACUACGUGCCAGCAGCCGCGGUAACACGUAGGGGGCAAGCGUUGUCCGGAUUUAUUGGGCGUAAAGAGCUCGUAGGUGGCUGAGUAAGUCGGAUGUCAAAUCCCCAGGCUCAACCUGGGACUCCAUCCGAUACUGCUCGGCUAGAGUCCGGUAGGGGAGCGUGGAAUUCCUGGUGUAGCGGUGAAAUGCGCAGAUAUCAGGAGGAACACCAGCGGCGAAGGCGGCGCUCUGGGCCGGUACUGACACUGAGGAGCGAAAGCGUGGGUAGCAAACAGGAUUAGAUACCCUGGUA
This 412-nucleotide ribosomal RNA is filed under the name uncultured bacterium. Its description in RNAcentral is "bacterial SSU rRNA". It matches the Rfam family "Bacterial small subunit ribosomal RNA", at positions 355 to 792 of the family's 1533-position model. The record is from RNAcentral.